RNAcentral lists this unclassified non-coding RNA (291 nucleotides) under Hevea brasiliensis (rubber tree). Lineage: Eukaryota; Viridiplantae; Streptophyta; Magnoliopsida; Malpighiales; Euphorbiaceae. The record is from RNAcentral.
UCUGCAUGGUUCAGCGCAGCAUAAACAGAAGCAGGCUUGCCCCGAGAAGCGCAACUCCGGAAUAGCAGGCACAGAGAAAGCCGUUACAGACGCGCUUAAGCUGGAUCGACGACAUCGCGCACUCGUGAAUAUACUGAGGCUAUGAUGCCCCUGGACUAAUUAAAAAUUUCCGAAUCUUGCGAGUUCCAUUGCCGGGCUCCGCCCGGCGUUUUCCCGAACAGCUCACACCUUGCAGCGAAUGAAAUUGGUGGGUCCGGAUAACGACUUCCAACUAGUUGGCGUGCAAUGAAU